GAUGAACGCUGGCGGCGUGCCUAAUACAUGCAAGUCGAGCGAAGCGGGGACGGGUGAGUAACACGUGGAUAACCUCCUAUAAGACUGGGUUUACUUCGGGACACCGGAGCUAAACCGGAUACUUAUAGAUGGAUCCGCGUCGCAUUAGCUAGCUGGUAAGGUAACGGCUUAACAAGGCAACGAUGCAUAGCCGACCUGGAAGGGUGAUCGGCCACGCUGGACCUGAGACACGGUCCGUAGUCCGACGGGAGACAGCAGGAUGGAAUCUUCCGCAAUGGGCGAAAUCCUGACGGAGCAACGGCGCAUGUGUGAUGAAGGUCUUCGGAUCGUAAAACACUGUUAUUAGUGAAGCGUUACCUACGCAGAAAGCCACGACUAACUACGGGCCAGCAGCCGCGGUAAUAC
Molecule: ribosomal RNA, 405 nt
Filed under: uncultured bacterium
Lineage: Bacteria
Description: partial 16S ribosomal RNA
Rfam family: Bacterial small subunit ribosomal RNA
Source: RNAcentral